AUGGAAGUUGGAGAGGGCUGCCAGCACACUGGUCCUGGGAUAGUGCCAAAUGGAUAUGCAAACAGGGUUUUCCAAGCAAACAUGGAGGAAGGCAGUACUGAUGCAUUGGAGAUCUGCGGUGCUGAGCACUGCACCUCCAGUGGUGCAGUCCAGAAUGAACAGGAAGAAGCGCCCAGGUAUAAGAAGAAGGCCAAGGGCAACCGGAUCUGGAAUUUUGUUAGUCGAAGGAAAGGUCCCUCCAUGAAUAACAAAAGACCCCAAUCCAUGAUCCUGCUAGGAGUUACCUCUGAGGCCUCAGAAGAAAAAAAAACAUCCUUCAUGGACAGGGUGAGGUCCUUAAAAAAGCUAAGAACCUCCAGCAUGUCUAAGAAUGUAGACUUGAGAGCAUCCAAAGUUCAGGUUGCUUGCGCCCCUGAGGAGGACCAUCACGCCAGUGGCCAAAGAGCAGUCUACAGGGUUAAGAAACUGGGAGACAGUCAGAGGCCUUCCCGCCACUCAUACGCAGGGUACAUUGAUGAUUUGGAUUCUUCUUUUGAAGAUGUAGAGCUGAAUAUCAGCAUUCCUGAAAUUGAUGCCAAUGAAAAUAAAUGGCUCAGGGAUAUUAAUGUCAGAUUGCAGAGUGAAGACAAUGAUAGUAACUGCCAUAAAAUACCAGCUAGAAAGAGCGAGUCUUUGAAUUUUGAAAACGUUAAGAGUUCUGUAGUUACAGAAGGGGACAAUCAAAAGAGGUGUAUUGUGCUCCCACAGGAGAGCAGAAGAGGAAAAAGCUCUGAUGUUUGGAGCUAUCUGAAAGGAAUUUCAUUAACUAGCAAAGAUAAUUCAAAGCCUCCAGAUCAAAGGGUUGAAACCAAUUUCCAGAACUUAGAAAAUAUAACUGAUAAUUCUGCUUCUUAUUUUGACUUUGAUACGAGGUGCGAGGAGAAUCUUAGCCAGCGAAAAAAAUCAAACAGUGCGACCAAAGCCACUCACUUUGGGGGCGUUGUGAGGUUCUUUAACAGUGUUGCGGAGGCAGCUCGGAAGUUGCGAGGCUCUUCAAGGGCAUUUUCACCAGAUGAGAAAAGGCCUCAGUCCAGUUUCAAAAGCUGGAGGCAGGAUGCCACCUCCCACAAAGAAGCCUUGGUUAUCGAGAAUGAGAAUGCGAGGGCUUUCUGCACGGUGGGAGCAUCUCUGCAGUCUCCAGACUCAGGCAUCUGGGAUAAUCAGAGUUCUGAGAGUUCAACGGGGAAGGAGCCUGCGCAGCACUGCAAAAACCCAGAGGUAUCGCAAGAAAUUGGCUGCUCUGCCCUGGGCAGUGAGAAUGAUAGUUUUAAUGAAACAUCCCUUUCUCCCUUUGGGCCAGAACCAUCCAUCUCCCCCCUGCCAGAGCUCCCAGAUGACUCUUUUUCCAUGCUAAAUACUCAAGACCCCUCUGAGACUCUGCCACAAUUUCCACGCGUGACUCUGACUAAACUAGAUACCGAGGAUGUGGGUUGUGCUCUAGUGGAUACCAAAGACAUGGAUUGCUCUCCAGCAGAGGCUCGGGAGCUUUCAAAGACAGAACUGGAUAUGCAGGACCUGAGAAAUACUGAGUUGCGUUUGAAAGACUUGUCUAUGGAUGAACUGGAGAUUGAGAAUACAAGCAGUACUCCGCAGGAGACACAGGACUUGGGCAGGAAGCUGUCAUGUUCUCAUGAUCUUUCUGUGAAUAAUCUGGGUACUGAGGAUCUGGGCAGUUCUCCAGCUGCUCAUCAUGACUUUUCUGCAGUGAUCUCUUUAAAAUGUGCAACAGUUAAAGAACAAGUUCUGAAGCAGACUGAUUGCCCUGUCAAAAAGCAUGGAACAAGUUCACCUGUAGAACAAAGUUCUGUAGAGCUACCUGACAGCUGUCUCUUUCUGAAUCUUUUUUCUCUUAAACUGGGAUCGUCAAAAAACUCCAAUGUUUUUCUCCAGUUAGCUGCAGAAGAUAAUUCUUUCUUUGGAUUAAUGUUACCUUGA
This 1974-nucleotide long non-coding RNA is filed under the name Apteryx haastii (Great spotted kiwi). RNAcentral's name for it is "lncRNA (ENSAHAG00000019154.1)". Lineage: Eukaryota; Metazoa; Chordata; Aves; Apterygiformes; Apterygidae. The record is from RNAcentral.